GAAUAGUACAGUUGGUAGGACGCCUGCUUGCUAUGCAGGAGGUUUGGGGUCUAAUCCCACAAUGAACU
Non-coding RNA from Trichonephila clavipes, 68 nucleotides. The record is from the annotation of a GenBank genome assembly. NCBI's taxonomy places the organism in Eukaryota, Metazoa, Arthropoda, Arachnida, Araneae, Nephilidae.